UACGAAGGGGGCUAGCGUUGCUCGGAAUCACUGGGCGUAAAGCGCACGUAGGCGGUUUCUUAAGUCAGGGGUGAAAUCCCGGGGCUCAACCCCGGAACUGCCUUUGAUACUGGUAGUCUCGAGUCCGGAAGAGGUGAGUGGAAUUCCGAGUGUAGAGGUGAAAUUCGUAGAUAUUCGGAGGAACACCAGUGGCGAAGGCGGCUCACUGGUCCGGUACUGACGCUGAGGUGCGAAAGCGUGGGGAGCAAACAGG
Molecule: ribosomal RNA, 253 nt
Filed under: uncultured bacterium
Lineage: Bacteria
Description: partial 16S ribosomal RNA
Rfam family: Bacterial small subunit ribosomal RNA
Source: RNAcentral